Mycoplasma putrefaciens Mput9231 is the source of this 140-nucleotide regulatory RNA element. It matches the Rfam family "Ribosomal protein L10 leader". From Rfam's summary of the family: This family is a putative r-protein leader autoregulatory structure found in B. subtilis and other low-GC Gram-positive bacteria. The record is from Rfam. NCBI's taxonomy places the organism in Bacteria, Bacillati, Mycoplasmatota, Mollicutes, Mycoplasmatales, Mycoplasmataceae.
UUAUUAAUGCUAUUAAUACCAAAGACAGUAACGGAGUUUGAUCUCUUAAUCAUGUUACCGAGGAAAUCUUUUUAAAAAAACAUUUUUGUUUUACUUCUCGGUUUAGUUAAUGUUACUAACCGAGGUUUUUUAUUAAGUGU